CGACCUAGCUGUUGUUUCGGUGCUGGGCUAGGCCUUCAUUACUGUCGUUGUGCUCCUCACGCUCACUGCAUGCAACUCAUUACACUGUUCAAAAUUAUCAUUUUGGCUCUAUAUAAAAUUGUUUAUCCUAAUUGAACGUGCACAUUGUGUCCAAUUUAUAUUGUAUUAACAAAGACAUCGUUACCAUUUACUGCAAGAUCAACACCAAGAGGGGCAAUGUCUUCAAGAGUAGAAAGAGGCCCAGUGUUUUCGUAACCCUGUUCACUUAGGAAAGAGUUGCAGCUUUCAACAAAGAAACUGAUGAUCUAAAAGUUGAGACUGCAUGGAUGAGCUAGGCUGCUUUGUCUGGACGAAAAUCAACCCUCCAAGGCUCCAACAGCCUCAUCAAACAGAAACUCGAGGAACCGGAAGCAGGGAGGAGGACCGACAGAUGAACGGAUGACCUGCUUGCUGGGCUACCCAUUACUGAUUCUUGAGAAAAAUGAGGACCACUGACUGAUGAGGGAAUUGCUUUACUGAGAUUGAUGAGCCUGCUUCAAGACAUCGUCAAGGCUCCAUCAGCCUUACCACACAGAAACUCGAGGAACCGGAAGCAGGGAGGAGGACCGACAGAUGAACGGAUGACCUGCUUGCUGGACUUCCCAUUACUGACUAUCAGAAAAAUGAGGACCACUGACUGAUGAGGGAGUUGCUCUACUGAGGCUCCAACAGCCUCAUCAAACAGAAACUCGAGAAACCGGAAGCAGGGAGGAGGACCGACAGAUGAACGGAUGACCUGCUUGUUGGGCUUCCCAUUCCUGAUUAUUAGAAAAAUGAGGACCACUGACUGAUGAGGGAAUUGCUUUACUGAGAUUGAUGAGCCUGCUUCAAGACAUCGUCAAGGCUCCAUCAGCCUUACCACACAGAAACUCGAGGAACCGGAAGCAGGGAGGAGGACCGACAGAUGAACGGAUGACCUGCUUGCUGGGCUUCCCAUUACUGACUAUCAGAAAAAUGAGGACCACUGACUGAUGAGGGAAUUGCUUUACUG
RNAcentral lists this long non-coding RNA (1030 nucleotides) under Patiria miniata (bat star). Its description in RNAcentral is "uncharacterized LOC119745678, transcript variant X3". The record is from RNAcentral. Lineage: Eukaryota; Metazoa; Echinodermata; Asteroidea; Valvatida; Asterinidae.